RNAcentral lists this ribosomal RNA (427 nucleotides) under uncultured bacterium. Its description in RNAcentral is "partial 16S ribosomal RNA". It matches the Rfam family "Bacterial small subunit ribosomal RNA", at positions 355 to 774 of the family's 1533-position model. The record is from RNAcentral.
UGGGGAAUAUUGGACAAUGGGCGAAAGCCUGAUCCAGCCAUGCCGCGUGUGUGAAGAAGGUCUUCGGAUUGUAAAGCACUUUAAGUUGGGAGGAAGGGCAUUAACCUAAUACGUUAGUGUUUUGACGUUACCGACAGAAUAAGCACCGGCUAACUCUGUGCCAGCAGCCGCGGUAAUACAGAGGGUGCAAGCGUUAAUCGGAAUUACUGGGCGUAAAGCGCGCGUAGGUGGUUUGUUAAGUUGGAUGUGAAAUCCCCGGGCUCAACCUGGGAACCGCAUUCAAAACUGACUGACUAGAGUAUGGUAGAGGGUGGUGGAAUUUCCUGUGUAGCGGUGAAAUGCGUAGAUAUAGGAAGGAACACCAGUGGCGAAGGCGACCACCUGGACUAAUACUGACACUGAGGUGCGAAAGCGUGGGGAGCAAACA